RNAcentral lists this ribosomal RNA (256 nucleotides) under uncultured bacterium. Its description in RNAcentral is "partial 16S ribosomal RNA". It matches the Rfam family "Bacterial small subunit ribosomal RNA", at positions 524 to 776 of the family's 1533-position model. The record is from RNAcentral.
UACGUAGGGGGGCAAGCGUUGUCCGGAUUUAUUGGGCGUAAAGAGCGUGUAGGCGGUUUGGUAGGUCCGUUGUGAAAACUCGAGGCUCAACCUCGAGACGCCGAUGGAAACCAUCAGACUAGAGUCCGGAAGAGGAGAGUGGAAUUCCUGGUGUAGCGGUGAAAUGCGCAGAAUAUCAGGAGGAACACCGGUGGCGAAGGCGGGUCUCUGGGGCAACAACUGACGCUGAGGAGCGAAAGCGUGGGGAGCGAACAGG